AAAACGUGUAGGGAAAUUUGGGGACACCCGAUAUCUUCUGCCUUCACUACUACAUAACGCAGAACAAUGGUUAUUUUUGUCUUUCAUAAAGAUAUCCGGACGUGCAUUUCAGACACCUGAGAUUAAAAAGAAAUUUGACAAUUCAAUCAAUAUGCAUUCACCAGCAGAAUGUCCAUGAUACUUUGCUAUAGAAUCAUAUGACAAUCACCUGUGGCAAAGUUUUGAUAGUAUGCACAUGGAUUGGAUAUGUUAAUUAGAGGAGAUUGAUGGUGAGAUAUUUGCAAUUGAUGCACCAUAAUGCAUUAUUUUUGAAUAAUUAUGCAUACAUGGAGAGCUAAGUAAUAAGAGUUCAGAUUAAGAAAGAGAAAUCUCGUGUUAGCUUUAGACUCUGCCUUAAAUCCUCAUUUCCAAUAAAAUGACUUGAACCAUUUAAAUGUUGUAAAUCUUUAGAAGUAGUGAACCAUUUUGCUUAUAUAAACCAAACAAUAACGAAAAUUACUCUGCGCCAAAGACGCAACAGCCAGCUAUGAACAAUCUUAGAUCCAAUAAACCAUAACCUAAAA
This is a long non-coding RNA of Solanum dulcamara, 563 nucleotides long. RefSeq lists it as uncharacterized. The record is from RefSeq and is a predicted model, not a curated record. The transcript has 3 exons. Lineage: Eukaryota; Viridiplantae; Streptophyta; Magnoliopsida; Solanales; Solanaceae.